Molecule: non-coding RNA, 248 nt
Organism: Pseudobacteriovorax antillogorgiicola
Lineage: Bacteria; Pseudomonadati; Bdellovibrionota; Oligoflexia; Oligoflexales; Pseudobacteriovoracaceae
Source: Rfam
AAAGUCUCGAAUGGAUAAAUGGCAGUCCUCCAUAUCCAGAGCGAGCCUUGCGUACAUGGAGGUGACAAUAUGGACGAAGCGUAGGCAGCGUUAAACACCAGGCCGCAAGCGGUAGCUGAAGUGAUUGCGUCCCGUAAUGAGUUUCGUUGGAGUGGUCGACGCUUGCAAUAAAGCGGAAGACAACAUCGGUUAGAGGCGACUUGAAAAGUCAGGACUUAUCUAACCAGCACCCCCGGGAUCCUAGAGCG